CUUUUAAUGAGAGUUUGAUCCUGGCUCAGGACGAACGCUGGCGGCGUGCCUAAUACAUGCAAGUAGAACGCUGAUGUUUGGUGUUUACACUAGACUGAUGAGUUGCGAACGG
This 112-nucleotide ribosomal RNA is filed under the name Streptococcus agalactiae STIR-CD-26. RNAcentral's name for it is "partial 16S ribosomal RNA". It matches the Rfam family "Bacterial small subunit ribosomal RNA", at positions 1 to 105 of the family's 1533-position model. Lineage: Bacteria; Bacillati; Bacillota; Bacilli; Lactobacillales; Streptococcaceae. The record is from RNAcentral.